CACGCAAGCUCUCACACACAUACGUAUAUACGCGACUCACAGAGCAGCGCCUGCCCCCCUCCCCCUAAAAAAAGAAAAACGGGCAGACGACCGCCACCGGCAUGCCAGCACGAUCACCGCUACCUCAUCUCCUUUUACCCCGGCCCCAUCCCAGCGCUCCUCGCCAAAGAUGUACCGCGCGCACAGCAAGGACAUCAACCGGAACAAAAGUUUCCAUCCCUUGACGUACCGCAACUUGCGCCGCGUCGAGCAGCUCAAGGAGGAGGCCGAGCUCAACAAGCAGAAGGCAGAGGAGCGGCAGAAGGAGCUGCAGCGCGAUCAGGAAGAACGUCGUUACGAUGAGCUGGUGCUGGCAAACUCAGCGGACUCGCUCAGCGGCGAGCUGGCACGCUACCGACAGACGCGCAGCAUCUUCGCCGCCGAGUACGAGGCAGACGCCCAAGCAGCCAAGGAUGCGCCUGUAGCUUCACCGCACUCGCCACAAGUCAGCAAGCCGGAAGUGCAGCUGAAGACGUCCACCGGCGCGUCAUUCCCCGUAAACAGCUUCCUCAGGAAGUUUAAGAAAGAGGAGUCCUACGGGUCGACGUGUGUGGUGAAAUCAGAAGCACGAGACGACACCGCCGCUGCUGCUUCUAGAACAGUCGCCUCCGUGGAGGCAGAGACGUCCAUGAGGAAGCGACCACGAGAUGACGCAAAAAGCAACAGUCCCUCUAGCACCCACAACGGCAGCGGCUAUGGUGCAGGUGCGACGAAGAGGAGAGGCGACGGUGACGAGAGUGCACCCGCUACUGGCUUUGUUACCAGCGCGGAAGCGGCGCAGCUACGAAAGGAGCUGAACCUGGCGCAGAAGCAGCGGCACGACCCACUCAUGCGAGUAAAGGAGUACCAGAACAGCUGCGUCGCCGCCGCCGCCGCUGCCAGGCAGCUGUCCCAUGAGCAAGCGACCGGUGCGGUGGCAAAGCACGAAGACGAUAAAGACAAGCUGCAGAGCCGCAUCCGCGAGCUGUUGGCUCUCAAGAAAAAAAAAGGAGAGCCACGAGGCGGAAGGUAUGCGUGACUACGUCCUCACUUUGUUUGACCGGAGAUGCGAGCGCCCCUGCUGCGUUGUGGACCCACCGGACCUCUCCAGUUGAAUUCGCUUCUCUGUGCGUUGGAUUCUUCCCCACCCCCACCCCUCUCACGACGACCUGCGCGCAGGCAGACAACACACCGGCCAUGCGCGAAAGGAAAAGAAGCACGCUAUUCAACAAAACG
Molecule: unclassified non-coding RNA, 1254 nt
Filed under: Leishmania donovani
Lineage: Eukaryota; Euglenozoa; Kinetoplastea; Trypanosomatida; Trypanosomatidae
Description: gene:LdHU3.19.1240(CDS-product:hypothetical_prote in_conserved)
Source: RNAcentral